Molecule: ribosomal RNA, 381 nt
Filed under: uncultured eukaryote
Lineage: Eukaryota
Description: partial 18S ribosomal RNA
Rfam family: Eukaryotic small subunit ribosomal RNA
Source: RNAcentral
CAAUAGCGUAUAUUAAAGCUGUUGCGGUUAAAAAGCUCGUAGUUGGAUUUCUGUCAAGGACAACUGGUCCGCCCCUCGGGUGAGCACAUAGUUUGGUCUUGGCAUCUUGUUGGAAACUGUUGCUGCACUUGGUUGUGUGGCGCAGUGUCCAGCACUUUCACUUUGAGGAAAUUGGAGUGUUUCAAGCAGGCACAUGCCUUUGGACACAGUAGCAUGGAAUAAUUAGAUUGGGCUUCUGCUCCAACUUGUCGGUUUCUGGAGCUGAGGUGAGAAUUAAUGGGGAUUGUUGGGGGCAUCCGAAUUUAGCCGUCAGAGGUGAAAUUCUUGGAUCUGCUAAAGACGGACAACUGCGAAAGCGUUUGCCCAGGAUGUUUUCAUUGA